CUGCCCUCAAGCCCGGCUUGUGUGUUGGGCCUCCGUCCCCUGGGACGGGGCCCGAAAGGCAGUGGCGGCGUCGUCCGAUCCUCGAGCGUAUGGGGCUUUGUCACCCGCUCUUGCAGGACCGGCCGACGUCCAGUCGACCUCCAAUCUUUCUCCA
This 154-nucleotide unclassified non-coding RNA is filed under the name uncultured Aspergillus. Its description in RNAcentral is "sequence contains ITS2". The record is from RNAcentral. RNAcentral also lists the same sequence under 1 other name. Lineage: Eukaryota; Fungi; Ascomycota; Eurotiomycetes; Eurotiales; Aspergillaceae.